RNAcentral lists this ribosomal RNA (474 nucleotides) under Cardinium endosymbiont of Embidopsocus sp. RNAcentral describes it as "bacterial SSU rRNA". It matches the Rfam family "Bacterial small subunit ribosomal RNA", at positions 962 to 1437 of the family's 1533-position model. Lineage: Bacteria; Pseudomonadati; Bacteroidota; Cytophagia; Cytophagales; Amoebophilaceae. The record is from RNAcentral.
CCUGGAACCUUACCUGGGCUAGAAUGUAUUUUGCCACCUUGAGAAAUUGAGGGUUCCUUCGGGACGGAAUACAAGGUGCUGCAUGGCUGUCGUCAGCUCGUGCCGUGAGGUGUUGGGUUAAGUCCUAUAACGAGCGAAACCCUUUUACUUAAUUGCCAGCACGUAAUGGUGGGGACUUUAAGUAGACUGCCCGUGUAAGCGGGAGGAAGGAGAGGAUGAGGUCAAGUCAUCAUGGCCUUUAUGCCCAGGGCUACACACGUACUACAAUGGCAUGUACAAAGGGAAGCUACUUGGUAAUAAGAUGCAAAUCUUAAAAGCAUGUCUCAGUUCGGAUUGAGGUCUGCAAUUCGACCUCAUGAAGUUGGAAUCGCUAGUAAUCGCGUAUCAGCAAUGACGCGGUGAAUACGUUCUCGGACCUUGUACACACCGCCCAUCAAGCCAUGGGAGUUGGUAGAGCUUGAAGACAGUGGCAAG